Long non-coding RNA from Betta splendens (Siamese fighting fish), 1902 nucleotides. RefSeq lists it as uncharacterized. The transcript has 4 exons. The record is from RefSeq and is a predicted model, not a curated record. Lineage: Eukaryota; Metazoa; Chordata; Actinopteri; Anabantiformes; Osphronemidae.
UUUAGUGAUUCUGUUAUAUUAUUCUAGACUGCCCUUUCCUUUAAUGUUGUCAAAAUUUCUAGAGUAUAAAAUGUUGGUAGUACAAAUCAACUUGCAUCUAAAGAAGAACCUCUAAGUGUCCCUUUUUCUUAAAAGUAAAACAUAUAGUUACCAGUUUAAAUGGGGAUUUGUUUAGUUUUAAUAUAAAAUAGUGCUCAAUACGGUAUGUUCACAAUUCAACAUAUAAAUACACUUUUAUAGUUAAAACAUUUUUCAGCCAAAUUCUUUACACAUCUAUUUAGGUCGCAGUGUCCGUACCGUAAUUCUUACAAAAAUGCGCAAUAACGAAAAGGCUACAUUUGACUUGACAGUGGCUUGGAAACACUACCAAGCCACUAUUUUUCUGUGUUAAAAAUGUAAUGUGAUGCAAAAUAUCAGUACAGUAAGUAUUAAAGAUCAAAGAGAAUCAAAAGACCGUCGGACAGUGUGGGAACUAGCUGGAUACUAUCCCUCUGCUUCUGUGCCUCCUCCUUUCUUCCCCUGUCAAAAAUCGUCACCUCUUGGAAGCAUCAUACCCGGAAGUACGCCGUCAAAAACGGCGAUUUGAACCAAUUAAUAUAUCAAUAUAGUUAAACCAGUAAGAUGCUUUUAUGUUGCCAAAUUGUGAUUAAAGCCAAAAUUUUUGAUCGGGGGCUUAUUGUUUCCCAAGUUUAAGAUACAUACGUAAACGUUUUUCACGUUUAGAGCACAAAGUAUUUAUUAGGAUUAAGAUUUUUUAUUAAAGAGGAUUUAUUGUUUGUGGAGAUGGUGGAAGCCUGCGGAAAGCUUGGCUUCACCUGUCAAUUGUAGCACAAGAGAGAAAAUGUGAAAUAUAGCAGCCAGUUUUUGGGAAUCUUUUUCUGGCAGUGAGGUGGAGAGCAGGGCUAGUUCUAGGAUGACACAUUAUACAAUGGUAACUUUGAUUUGGUAUUUGUGUUAGAGCAACUCAGGAGCACUGAUGGUGAGGAAAACCAGGCAGCAGAGAAUUAGCAGAGGCACUAAAGAAGGAUACAUCACAGAGCUUCAUGUUCUUGUCCCAGAGAUCUAAAUUAUAAAGAGGGUCCUGCCUUUAUUCUCAGUUGCUCCAACCCACUACUCACCAACCAGGAUCAUACAGACUUGGUGCUUAAUGACCGUGCAGAUACCGUCCACUGUGUGAAUGUGUCCAGCUUCAGGUGUCCGCUGGCAAGAACUACGCAACCGGAGACAUGUGCACAUCAACGUUUUGUGAUGGUGGGAGGUGCAGAGAACUACUGCCCAACUAAAUGUCUCAUUGAAGGCCAGUUUAAGGUGGAAGAAGAGGAGAUCACUCGCUUUUUAAACAGACCGAUUUUCUGUCAAAUACAAAUAGGUGUUUUACAUUGUAUUUACAAUUGUAUAUUAAAAUAUCCUUUCUUGAGUCACUUAUUAAUCUCUUAUCAGGUUUUCUGGCAGUUGUACAUGUACGUCCUAGUCCAGGCAUCUUUUGGUAUGAAGAUUCAAGAGAGUUUAUGCACAAAUCUAUAAAACAUCUUAAACAUUAGUGCUACAGUGAGGUGAUUUUAUUGGCUUCCAGUUUUCCCAGGGGGCAGUGCUCAGUACGAUCUACCCGAUGAUGACGAAGAAGUUGGUUAGCAGUAUGCCACCGAAGAGCCCGUUGAGGAAGCUGCCCAGCAGGGCUGACAGGGCGGCCGCAGCCACAGUACUUGAUGUGAGCGCCUCCUGCCACAGCGCGCUCAGAUGCAACUCCCUCUUUAGCAUGUGCAUCGCCCCGGAGAUCACUCCGGUGUUGUAGCCGAACAGAAAGCUGCCAAGGGCUUCAAAGACGACCAGAACAUAAACAAAGCUGGGUGUGACAUCUUGCUGGAACUGCUUACGCGAAGCCCUCUCCAAGUCCCAGAGAAG